UCUUAGUAAACUAUUAUUGAAAGAUCAGGCAAUAGGAUGUCCAGAAUUCAAGUGAGUGUAUGCUUAUCCGCUCAUGCUUCCUAUCUUUUUUUCAUAUCACUCUUCCUGAAGUUACUGAAAGUCUGAAAUAACAAACUUUCAAUCUAAUGCAGAAAUGCUCAUAAAGUCAAAGGUCAUCCUUCUCUUCAGAAAGGAUGAUGCAAUGAGGUGCAUGACAUAGAAGAUGUUAUAAAAGUUGGACAAUUGGUGAAAGGUAUGCUUCAUUUGCAAGAAAAAGCAGUUUAGGUGUGUUAGGUGUAAAGUAGCUUUCCAUAGUAAAUGUUCACCAUGGUCAGAUUCAAUGUUGCAACUAAAAGAUCAUCCUGAGCAUACUGUUUGCUGGAGGCAUCUUUCUGAUUGGCGCUUGGAUAGGAAGGUUGGUUGACCGGAAUGUUGUAUUUGUUGGAUGAGCAGCCUCAUGCUUCGACAAGUGACAUUUCUGAAGUAUUUUGUCGAUUGCCUCUUCCAUUUAUCAGUGAGGAGUUUAAGAUUGACUUCACUUGGAAAGACAUGGACAGUAAGAUGGAGCAGCCACGAUUAUAGCUUCUUUAUAUCAAGAUUUUUGUCUUAAAAAAGUGGAAGUACAUAAAGAUGUCUGAUCUUCCAUUCCAAGUUGGGGAUUUGGCUGAGUCAAGAUGCUUUGAAAAGGUGGUUAUCGUGGUGCAUGGUUAAGAUGCAAGGUCUUGCAAUGCGUGAAUGAGGUGCAUUCUCUUUGUAGUGUGUUUGGGUUGGAUUUUGGUCAGACCGUGGGUGAUGUUCACCGAAGUUUGCAUGGGACUCAGGUGGAACAGUCGACUAAUAUUAGCAAUAGCACAUUGGAAGGUCUAGAGCAGGCCAUUCUCAAGUUAAAAAUAGAAAGGAAAACUAUAAUUUCAGAAGCUGAAGGAUGUUGUAGCAAAACUAUUUGAACUUUGGAAUUUGAUGGACUCUUCAAAAGAAGAGAGAAACUGUUUUAUGAAGAUUACUUCUAUUGUUGAAACCUCAGAAUCAGAAAUCACUGAACGAGGUGUUCUUUCAACAUAAAUGAUAAAGAAGGCUUCAGCAGAAGUGGACAGGCUUGCCAAACUAAAAGCAAGCAGAAUGAAAGAACUUGUUUUUAAGAAGAGGUCAGAGUUAGAGGAAAUAUGUAGAUUGAUUCAUAUUGAACCAGAUCCAAGUACUGUGGCCGAGAAAGCUAGUGCAUUAAUAGAUUCUGGACUGGUGGAUCCUUCUGAGCUAUUUAGCCAAAAUAGAAGAACAGAUAAUUAAGGCAAAAGAUGAAGUUUUGAGUAGAAAAGAAGUAACAGAUAGGAUUGAUAAGUUGUUUGCUACAUGUGAAGAGGAGAAUUGGCUUGACAAAUAUAAUCAAGUAAGCCAGAAAUUAUAUUUUAUCAUUUGUAUAGCUUCAUAAGCAUGAUGGUACGACACAGGCCUACCAGGGUUUUGCCUUCUUUAUUUGUUUUUAGAUCUCUUUAUUUUCUUGCCCAAACUCUUGUACUUUUAUUGGAAGUUUCAAAUGAUAUUGAAUACAUUGUAUUUUUCAUUAAAAAAAGAGAGAU
This is a long non-coding RNA of Glycine soja, 1577 nucleotides long. RefSeq lists it as uncharacterized. The transcript has 9 exons. NCBI's taxonomy places the organism in Eukaryota, Viridiplantae, Streptophyta, Magnoliopsida, Fabales, Fabaceae. The record is from RefSeq and is a predicted model, not a curated record.